Long non-coding RNA from Chroicocephalus ridibundus (black-headed gull), 4653 nucleotides. RefSeq lists it as uncharacterized. The record is from RefSeq and is a predicted model, not a curated record. The transcript has 5 exons. NCBI's taxonomy places the organism in Eukaryota, Metazoa, Chordata, Aves, Charadriiformes, Laridae.
AGGGUGAUAUAUUUCAGGGUGAGCUCAGCAAGACCCCUUCCUCUAAAGAAAAAAGGCACAAAGGUGUUUACUGAGUGUCUGGGAAGACAAAUGUGAGUUGAGCUGCUGCUGGCCAGGACCUGGAGGUAUCUGUCAGGGUCAGGAACAGGGUGACACUUUGAAACACGUCCCAGAGGAGGAUAUUGAAGGUUGCAUUGUAUAGUGAUAUUGAACAUACUCCUCGUAGGCAGAGUGCUGUUAAUCCUAUUUCUCUAAUGAGCGUAAGCAUGAACAAUAGCUCAACUAGUGGUGGGCGCACCGCUGGCUGCACAGAGCUGACAUAAAUUCAUUUUUAUGAAUUUCAUUUUUAAUAUUUAUAUCUUAGUGAGCUGGUCAGCCUGGGAAUGAAGUGCUCUUGCUGGAGAAGGUGUAUGAAUUCCAGCACUAACUCUACGGGAUUUGCAGCGGUGACAGGGAGCAUGGGUCUAGUACUAGCAGGUGUAUAACUUGCAGGCUGGUUGUCCUGAGUCACCAUCUGGAGGGCUGGGCUGAGUUUCCAGAGGAACCAGGGCAGAAGAGAGCUCGUCGAGGCUCAGCUUGCACUUUCUCAAGCUCAGGCGCACAAUGGAAGAGGGACGGCGAAGAGCAGAUUCCUGCCUCCUAAAUCUUCUGGCCAUUAGUUCCCCCUCCUUUGUUUACCUCUCCCAUUUUACUGUAGUUUCUCACCAGUUGAACAAGGCAAUGAGGUCACUGUUUGGAGAUCAGGGUGCAGAAGUCAGUCUGGGUGUGAAGACAGAAACUAAUCAGGAAAGUUUGUCAGGGGAGAAGAAUGGGGGGGACUGUACCCCAGUACAGGGUUAGUAGUGGGUGUGCUGCAUGAGUUUAGCAACACCUUAAACUCCCCUUUCUUCAGUACUGUUGCACAAAGCAAUUGGGUCAAAACUUGACAGGCAGUGUUCUGCUGCCUGCUUUUGUUUAUUUUAUUUUAAGGAAAGAAGAAAAUUAGAAAAAAAAAGUCUUUUGCAGAGAUAACAAAUGUCACGGUUCAGAUAUUUGCCCUGUCUUUCUUUCCCUUCUUCCCUCUCUUCCUUCCCAGCAUUUUGCACUUGCAGACGCAGAUUUGUGCGUCCCUUUCUUCCCUGCCCAAGGAGCCAGAAAGUUUUACAUCCAGUCCACGAAAAGUGAGCAUGGGGCUUCAGUCUGGAGCGCUGAUGCUGGAAGCAGGAGAGACUUUGUACAGCUGGGGGCAUCCAAUCACAUUUGACCAUCCAGAAGCAGCUGAGUCAGUCUGCUAGAGCAUUCACGCUCCCGGCAAGACAGCCGCAGGCAGAUGCAUCUCAGGUUGAACGCACAGGUUCCAGGAGUCAGCUCUUUCCUGAGCAAAAGGACUUCCUCUGUCCAUGACACAGGAUUGCCAAUUCCUCCAAUGCCAGGAGAGACCAGUGAGGAGAGGGGGAUGCUCUGCCUGAAGAGCCUGCAGAAAGGGACCAGCAGGAGCUCCCGCUCACCGACCUUCCACUCUCGCUUGACCAGGCAGCGCUGUGCCCAGGAAAGAGCAAAAGAUGAACUGCAAAGCAGUGAGGGUGCCACCAUGUCAGUCCAGUCAUUGACUGCCAAACCCUCCUUCCAUCUCAGAAAGGCAGCUGUGCGACUCUCCGGAAGGAAAAAGCGUUUAACCACUUGUAGUGGAAAAGCAUGCCCUGAUGGCCAGAGAACUGAGCAGCAGGCUCUACUUACUGGCGAACCAAGGGUGACCACAACAACUGUAGGAAUGUGGUAGAACCCGAGAGACGGAGAAUGCAGAAGAUCUGCAGGAACCUACCUGAUAGGAGGACCCUUCCGAUUCCUGCCCAGCUAGCGACUAGUCUGCUUUCUAGGCAACUGACAGGAGAAAAGAUGUCUGCAAAGAGAAAAAAAAAAAUGGGAAAGUUGAGAGCUCAGAGAGGAAACCUCAUUUCUGCCUCCACCAUGGGAUGCCUGCAGCUAUCCUAUCCGUCUGGGAGGUCCUGCAAAAGAAAACAAGAUUGCUCUGCAUGACUCAGUCUUGGUUCAGAAGCUAAAAGUGUGUAUAAAUAUAUUUCAAAUACUAAUCACAGACCCUGUUGGGGGACAACUGCUAUGACGUAAUAUAUAAUUAGAACUGCAUGUUUGUGUAAUAGCACCCACCUAGGAUGAAACUAAGAAAUCCAGCUAAAGUAAAGACCCUUGUAGGUCUGGAGUAAGAAGUGCUAAUGUCUGUGCAGGGCCUGAGGCAGGAGGGACGCUGAGGAGGCUGCAGUGUCAACUUCUGAUCAGCUCCUUCCAUCCAGUUUUAAGAGCAUACAACACCUCCAGACAAUUUCCUCACUUCACAAGUUGUGCUGGCACUAGAAUGUUUGACAAGCAGACUUUGAGGGAAGUGGGGUGGCCUGCAGUAUUUUUUUGUCCCCCCACUCAAAACCAUUCCUGUGACUUUUUUUUCAUUGUGAGUUUCCUGAAGGCGUGUUACUGUAUUUUGGUUCAAUGUGAAAGUGGGUGUUACUUUGCACUACAGUGGGAACAAAGCCUAACAGAACUUAAAUGCUAACCUGAUCGCACAUUUUUCCUAGCUUCUUGAGCAAAAGAGAGACAUGGGCUUUCACACAGUUAAGUACUUCUGCAUUUUGCAUGAUGUCCUCAUCAUCAAAAUCACUGAGUAACUUCUAUUUAUUGAGUAAGAAGGUCCUGCUGGCCUCCCUUUUUCUCGUACCAGCAUUUCUGUUAACUUAAACUCAGUUAGGUUGCCACUGGCCUUGAUAUAACUGCUCUAAGCACAUCCUUGUUCAGUUUUUGUUAUGUCUACAACCACCAUGCUAAGCUUCUUUUCUCAGAUACAGAAAAGAGACAGUAUCAUCAACAGUCCUCUCUCUGCAUUUGUUCCAGCAUCAAUUCUUCUUUCUUUAACUUAAGUGACGAGAACCGUGGCAGCAUUCCAGGCAAGGUCUCACCAGCAAUACCAAUGCUUCCCUAUAUGUAAACCAGGAAUAACUUGACUGCUCAAACAGCAAGUGGAAUACAUCUCUAGCUUUAGCCAUAGCUUUAGAGCAGGGGUUAAACAAUUUCUGAACGUGCAACCUUACACUUUGUUCUGCUAAUUUUCAUCUCAGUUAUUACUGUAGCCCUCUCAAUCUCCAUGAGCUAGUCCUUUAACAGCAAUACUCCCCCCUACUAUCCCUAUCUUUUUUACACCUCCCUAUUUUUCAAUUUGGCAAAUAUCCCUGGAGCAUAAUCUCCUCCUGGCCUGUGAUUUUGUCCACCAGGGUUUCUGAGUUAAACCAGAUCCUCUCCACAAUGGAAACAUUACAUAUAAUGCUACAUGGGGAAACACUUCAGUUUCAACUACUAUUCCCUUUUUUCCCUGUUUAAAGAAUAUGAUGUGGUGUGCUAACUGAUGAUCAGAUCUUCUUUAAAAUUAAUUUAGACUAAUUUGAUACUUGUCUACUUUAUUAAAUUAAUACUGACUUUUCGCUUAUUUGCUAGGCGGCUCCAGUUCUCUCUCUGUCUGUUUCUGUAAGUCAGAGAAGUCCAUCUAUAGCUGUCUUAACCAAACUUUAAUGCAAGCGCUACGCAUAUUAUUCUCUAGGUCUGUGGUAACACCUCCAGUUUGACAUUUAUUAAAAACUGUACUGAAAAUUCCAAAAUUGUGUCCUUUUUUUGUAUACAUGCUGCCUUCUUGUUUCUCUGCGAUGGUUUGCGUCCACCUCAGACACUAACUUACACUUCUACAUGUGCGGUCAGCAGCCACAUGCUGAAUUUCCCAUUACUUCACAUUACCCUCCUUACUGAAAGCUGAAGCAAAACAUCCAUAUACUUUUGCAGACAUAAAUUAUCAUCAGUCUCAUCAGCUUCACUAAUGGACCUUUUUUGUGCCUUCCAAUUCCUACCUGUCCAAAAUUCCAUCCCUCUUCCUAAAUCCACUGGAGUCUCAUGGACAGAAAGACUAGUUGAAAUAACUCACCGGACAUUUUACUAUUCUUCUCUUCAGCAACAGCAAUACUUUUGUUUUGUCCCAACACUCCCCUCUGUAAUCCACAGGGAUUCACGCAACUCAAAAAACCCUCUCAUGUGGUUAGGCUUCAGAUAUGAGAAGAAAAUUUCUGUAAUUUACCACUAAAGACAUUCUUUGAGCUGCCUAUGAGCAACCAAUACCCUCAGAUUGAAAUAUUUCAAUGUGUCUUUAUAGUACGGAAUCAUGCUUUCUUGAUAAAAAAACCACCAACAAACCACAACCAAAAAAACCCCACAAAACAACAAACAGAUUAAAACCCCCUAAACCUAAAUCUGUUACCUUAGCUACAGUUUUACUAAAAUUGCUUACAGAAAUCCAGUAGGCUACUAAAAUUACACAGGUAGCCUUUAAAAUCUGUUGUGUUCUCCUAAUGUUGCAUAUUCACGUUCCCAUGCAUAAACCCAACUGUAUUCCUUUUCUAGAGGCAAAGUAAUUUUGAAUGAGCCAGUGAAAACUCUUUGUGAAGUCUCUCCUCACCCCCAACUAUGUGGCUUUAGAAUCAAUUCCCCUCAGCAUGGCUCCAUUUCAGAUGCAGACUGAAAGAGUCGGAUCAAGGAGAACAACUGAAAAAGCAUGUUGUAUAUGUCACCAUAGUUUCUCCUCCCUGGAUCUGGCACCCCCUUUGCAUAAACAUAGUCCUGGUCGAA